Molecule: ribosomal RNA, 301 nt
Filed under: uncultured bacterium
Lineage: Bacteria
Description: partial 16S ribosomal RNA
Rfam family: Bacterial small subunit ribosomal RNA
Source: RNAcentral
CAGCCGCCGCGGUAAUACGUAGGGUGCAAGCGUUAAUCGGAAUUACUGGGCGUAAAGCGUGCGCAGGCGGUUUGUUAAGACAGAUGUGAAAUCCCCGGGCUCAACCUGGGAACUGCAUUUGUGACUGGCAAGCUAGAGUAUGGCAGAGGGGGGUGGAAUUCCGCGUGUAGCAGUGAAAUGCGUAGAUAUGCGGAGGAACACCGAUGGCGAAGGCAGCCCCCUGGGCCAAUACUGACGCUCAUGCACGAAAGCGUGGGGAGCAAACAGGAUUAGAUACCCGCGUAGUCCCUGUCUCUUAUAC